RNAcentral lists this long non-coding RNA (244 nucleotides) under Manihot esculenta (cassava). Its description in RNAcentral is "long non-coding RNA (MESC_LNC001118)". Lineage: Eukaryota; Viridiplantae; Streptophyta; Magnoliopsida; Malpighiales; Euphorbiaceae. The record is from RNAcentral.
UCCCUGGGUAUUGCCAUUAUUAACAAGUCAGUCCCUGUAUUUUCAGAAACCUAUUAAAACGUCCUUAUGUUUUCUCUCCGUCAACGAAAUAGUCCUUCUGUCUAUUUUUGCCGUUAAAAAUAUAGUAAAAGACUAAAUUGCCCCCAAUUAUUUUUCUCCUCCUCCUCCUUCCUUUUCUUCUUCAUCAAUUCUUCUUCCUUUUGCUUCUUCUUCUUCUGCUUCUUCUUCUUCUGCUUCUUCUCCU